UGCCAGCCGCCGCGGUAAUACGUAGGGUGCGAGCGUUGUUCGGAAUUACUGGGCGUAAAGGGUAUGUAGGCGGAAUGGUUAGCUAGAGGUGAAAGCCCGGAGCUCAACUCCGGAAUAGCUUUUAGAACUGCCAAUCUAGAGAGGGUCAGAGGUCAGCGGAAUUCCUGGUGUAGAGGUGAAAUUCGUAGAUAUCAGGAGGAACACCGGCGGCGAAGGCGGCUGGCUGGGGCCACUCUGACGCUGAGGCACGAAAGCGUGGGGAGCAAACGGGAUUAGAUA
This 279-nucleotide ribosomal RNA is filed under the name uncultured bacterium. Its description in RNAcentral is "partial 16S ribosomal RNA". It matches the Rfam family "Bacterial small subunit ribosomal RNA", at positions 506 to 784 of the family's 1533-position model. The record is from RNAcentral.